Triticum aestivum (bread wheat) is the source of this 566-nucleotide long non-coding RNA. RefSeq lists it as uncharacterized. The record is from RefSeq and is a predicted model, not a curated record. The transcript is spliced from 3 exons. NCBI's taxonomy places the organism in Eukaryota, Viridiplantae, Streptophyta, Magnoliopsida, Poales, Poaceae.
GCUGCUAAGAGACUUGCAGCGAAUUCAGGGCAAGGACUACCAGAGUUUAAGAAUGAAAUCUUGUUAAUAGCCAAGCUUCAACACAGCAAUUUAGUGGGACUCCUAGGUUGCUGCAUUGACGGGGAAGAAAUGUUACUAAUCUACGAGUAUAUGCCAAACAAAAGCUUGGAUUUCUUCCUAUUUGAACAAUCGAGAAGGGCUUUUUUAGUCUGGGCAAUGCGUCUUAACAUAAUUGAAGGGAUUGCACAAGGUCUUAUUUAUCUCCACAAGCAUUCUCGGUUGAGAAUUAUUCACAGGGACCUGAAACCAAGCAACAUUUUGUUAGACACUGAUAUGAACCCUAAGAUCUCAGACUUUGGAAUGGCAAGAAUAUUUGAUCCUAAAGGAGGACUAGCUAACACGAAAAGAGUCGUUGGAACAUAUGGCUACAUGGCUCCUGAAUAUGCUAUGGCAGGUAUUUUCUCUGUCAAGUCCGAUGUAUUUAGCUACGGGGUAUUGCUUCUGGAGAUCAUUAGUGGACUAAGAAAUGCCGCAGCUCGUGGACAUGGAAACUCCCUAAACCUCCU